Molecule: non-coding RNA, 926 nt
Filed under: Pan troglodytes (chimpanzee)
Lineage: Eukaryota; Metazoa; Chordata; Mammalia; Primates; Hominidae
Source: RNAcentral
CAGAGCCCCGCUUGAUGGCAGGUGCUGGACAAUAACAAUGCUGGGAUCCCCGCCUCUGCUGCCACUUUCCUCACCAGCAUGGAUCCUGCCCUCUCCUUUGUGUCACUCACUAAAGGCUCAAAGUCUGGUUCAGGUAGAAACAAUUUUACGUGUCUCAGAAAGAACAAAGAGUUUAAGAUGGUGAUGCUGAGAUUCUGGACAAGAUGGACAUGGUGAUCUCUACUGGAAUCUGGGGACUGCUGUACUACGGUCAUAUACUACUGCUGGGGGCCUGGUGUUCCCGGGGUGCACUGGGGGCCUUGCUGUACUGAUAUGGUCAUAUGCUACUGGGGGCCUGCUGUUGCUGAGGUACAUUGUCAGCAGGCCUAGGCAUCGAAAAUGACAAAACUGUCUCCUGUUCAGAAGCACUUAGAAUCUCCUGCAUCGUGUAACAAGUGUUUAGAGAUCCCUAGAUCAGGGACUCUGGGGACAGUUUUUAAUUUACUGAUAAGUAAAGUUUUAAAAUGUGACAUCUUUGAGUACUGCUGCCCUAGUCUAUUAAACAAAGAGAAGCAAUUCCCAGGCCAGGAUCAUCCUACUAACCCAAACCUGAUAAUGCUGAUGUGGCCCAGGGCUGGCAGGAUGGCCUGGACUGUAACUAGGCAUCCCCUGCUUCCAUUUGCAGACAUGUGGCUUUGCCCUGAUGGAGACAUAGCGACAGAUCAUUUUGUACUACGUAGGUACAGAUCCAAAGGGCAUCUUAGGCUGGCUGUCAUUAAGUUCCAGUGAGGAACACCUGUCUUCUUCAGUUCCUGUUUCUCCAGUUUGCAUGCAACCUUAGCCCAUCAGAAGGCAGCGGAUAAGAGUUCCCCCUUGGAUGGCUUUAAGUUGGCAAACAGGGGUAGAAAAGAGGCCAAGCUGCGUGGUGGCAGGCACCUGUAAUCCCA